RNAcentral lists this non-coding RNA (252 nucleotides) under Thermobaculum terrenum. Its description in RNAcentral is "T-box sequence". It matches the Rfam family "T-box leader". From Rfam's summary of the family: Uncharged tRNA acts as the effector for transcription antitermination of genes in the T-box leader family. T-boxes are found upstream of many aminoacyl-tRNA synthetase genes and some amino acid biosynthetic genes usually in Gram-positive bacteria. Lineage: Bacteria; Bacillati; Chloroflexota; Chloroflexia; Thermobaculales (SeqCode); Thermobaculaceae (SeqCode). The record is from RNAcentral.
UUAAAGGCUGUGAAGGAAACCUAGUAGGCUCGAGUUGCGCGGCACAGAGAGUCUGGGUAAGGUGAGAGCCAGAUGCCGUGGGGCGAGCUGAAGAUCAUUCCAGAGCCUCCGCCCGAACCGCGAAAGCGCAGUAGACGCGGACGGAUUUGCCACCCGUUAUCAGUGGCAGGAUGUGAUAUCGCAUCCACUGAGAGAGCGGCAACGCUAAUAGAGGUGGUACCGCGGGCUGGUAAUGAUCGGCUCGUCCUCAGC